RNAcentral lists this ribosomal RNA (484 nucleotides) under uncultured bacterium. RNAcentral describes it as "partial 16S ribosomal RNA". It matches the Rfam family "Bacterial small subunit ribosomal RNA", at positions 30 to 507 of the family's 1533-position model. The record is from RNAcentral.
AGUGAACGCUGGCGGCAGGCCUAACACAUGCAAGUCGAGCGGCAGCGGGUCCUUCGGGAUGCCGGCGUGCGGCCGACGGGUGAGGAAUACAUCGGAAUCUGCCCUGUCGUGGGGGAUAACCUAGGGAAACUUAGGCUAAUCUCGCAUACGACCUACGGGUGAAAGCGGGGGAUCGCAAGACCUCGCGCGACUGGCUGAGCCGAAGUCCGAUUUGCUAGUUGGCGGGGUAAAGGCCCACCAAGGCGACGAUCGGUAGCUGGUCUGCGAGGGUGAUCUGCCACACUGGGACUGAGACACGGGCCAGACUCCUACGGGAGGGAGCAGUGGGGAAUAUUGGGCAAUGGGCGGAAGCCUGAUGCAGCCAAGGCGCGUGGGUGAAGAAGGCCUUGGGGUUGUAAAGCCCUUUUAUUCGGGAAGAAAAUGUGUGGGAGAAAACCCCGGGAGGAUGACGGUAACGGAAGAAUAAGCACCGGCUAACUUCGUG